UUGGUUCGCAUAUAAACAGAGCAAUGAAAGACAGAAAAAUAGGGGACUCCACUAAAAGAAAGAAAGAAAGUCUGAUGGGGGGUUGGCCACGUUGCAUAGACUUUGUGUUUUGUGUUUGUGUGUGCAAACAAUCAAAACAAAAGAUGGGUUUUGGUGUUGGUAAAUACACAAAACAAAAGAUGAGUUUGCCUUAAGUACGGGACAGAGUCGGGUGCAAUUGUUCUCCAAUUUUAUAAGGGCUACACUUCCUUCGCAUGUCCAAUUCCUUUGCGUCUCUAAUUCCUGAAGUCCCAAUUGGAGUAUGAUUGAUCCACCUAAAGGAUGAGCUUCGCGCUAGUGGUUUUUUUUUUUUUUUUUUUUUGUCACGAAGACUACAAUUGUGAAUCAAUUUCUGUUCAUGGGUCAGUCAAAAUAUCAAGGCCCCGAAAGCAGAAUAGUGUGUUGUCUACCUAUUAAUUCUCCAAAGCCCAAAAUUCUCAGAAGGCCAAAAUAUUUAACGGGUGAUCCAAACAAUUGCCCAUUAAAUAUACAAGGCUCGAAACAAAUUAAUGGGCUGUAAAAAAUAUUUACCCAUUAGUUCUCAAAAGCCCAAAAUAUUUAAUGGAUGAUACAAAUAAUUACCCAUUAAAUUUACAAAGGC
Molecule: long non-coding RNA, 640 nt
Filed under: Prunus persica (peach)
Lineage: Eukaryota; Viridiplantae; Streptophyta; Magnoliopsida; Rosales; Rosaceae
Description: long non-coding RNA (PPER_LNC002332)
Source: RNAcentral